RNAcentral lists this ribosomal RNA (705 nucleotides) under Citrobacter sp. C47. RNAcentral's name for it is "bacterial SSU rRNA". It matches the Rfam family "Bacterial small subunit ribosomal RNA", at positions 40 to 733 of the family's 1533-position model. The record is from RNAcentral. Lineage: Bacteria; Pseudomonadati; Pseudomonadota; Gammaproteobacteria; Enterobacterales; Enterobacteriaceae.
CGGCAGGCCUAACACAUGCAAGUCGAACGGUAGCACAGAGGAGCUUGCUCCUUGGGUGACGAGUGGCGGACGGGUGAGUAAUGUCUGGGAAACUGCCCGAUGGAGGGGGAUAACUACUGGAAACGGUAGCUAAUACCGCAUAACGUCGCAAGACCAAAGAGGGGGACCUUCGGGCCUCUUGCCAUCGGAUGUGCCCAGAUGGGAUUAGCUAGUAGGUGGGGUAACGGCUCACCCUAGGCGACGAUCCCUAGCUGGUCUGAGAGGAUGACCAGCCACACUGGAACUGAGACACGGUCCAGACUCCUACGGGAGGCAGCAGUGGGGAAUAUUGCACAAUGGGCGCAAGCCUGAUGCAGCCAUGCCGCGUGUAUGAAGAAGGCCUUCGGGUUGUAAAGUACUUUCAGCGAGGAGGAAGGCGUUGUGGUUAAUAACCGCAACGAUUGACGUUACUCGCAGAAGAAGCACCGGCUAACUCCGUGCCAGCAGCCGCGGUAAUACGGAGGGUGCAAGCGUUAAUCGGAAUUACUGGGCGUAAAGCGCACGCAGGCGGUCUGUCAAGUCGGAUGUGAAAUCCCCGGGCUCAACCUGGGAACUGCAUCCGAAACUGGCAGGCUAGAGUCUUGUAGAGGGGGGUAGAAUUCCAGGUGUAGCGGUGAAAUGCGUAGAGAUCUGGAGGAAUACCGGUGGCGAAGGCGGCCCCCUGGA